Molecule: ribosomal RNA, 339 nt
Filed under: uncultured bacterium
Lineage: Bacteria
Description: bacterial SSU rRNA
Rfam family: Bacterial small subunit ribosomal RNA
Source: RNAcentral
GACGAACGCUGGCGGCGUGCUUAACACAUGCAAGUCGAGCGGUAAGGCCCUUUCGGGGGUACACGAGCGGCGAACGGGUGAGUAACACGUGGGUGACCUGCCCUCAGCUCUGGGAUAAGCCUGGGAAACCGGGUCUAAUACUGGAUAUGACUCCAUGACGCAUGUUGUGGGGUGGAAAGCCUUGUGCGGCUGAGGAUGGGCCCGCGGCCUAUCAGCUUGUUGGUGGGGUGAUGGCCUACCAAGGCGACGACGGGUAGCCGGCCUGAGAGGGCGACCGGCCACACUGGGACUGAGACACGGCCCAGACUCCUACGGGAGGCAGCAGUGGGGAAUCUUGCG